Dreissena polymorpha is the source of this 4239-nucleotide long non-coding RNA. RefSeq lists it as uncharacterized. The transcript is spliced from 2 exons. The record is from RefSeq and is a predicted model, not a curated record. Lineage: Eukaryota; Metazoa; Mollusca; Bivalvia; Myida; Dreissenidae.
UGUCCUAAUGAUAUCUUGGAUUAGUUCAAAAAUAGUUUUGUUUGCUUAAAAAACAUGGCCACCAGGGGGCGGGGCAUUUUUCCUUAUAUGGUUAUGUAUCAUGCUUUACUAAAACAUUGUUAACACUCUGUAGGCCACAUUUAUUUUCCGAUUAUUAUGAAACUUGGUCAGAUGAUUUGUCCAAAUUAUAUCUUGGAUGAGUUCAAAAACGGUUCUAGUUGGUGAAAAAACAUGGCCACUAAGGGGCGUGGCAUUUUUCCUUAUAUGGCUUAAGUAAAACCCUGUUAAAACUCUAGAAGCCAUAUUUAUUGUACGAUCAUCAUGACACUUUGUCAGAAGAUUUGUCCCAAUGAUAUUUGGACAAGUUUGAAAUUGGUUCCAGUUGCUAAGAAAAACAUGGCCACCAGUGGGCGGGGCAUUUUUCCUUAUAUGGACUUAUGAAUCUUCUUGAAACUUUGUCAGUAUAUUAGUUUAAAUGAUAUCUUGGAUGUGUAUUUCACGUUGACAUUUGAAGCUUUAACUUUGUAUGAUUCUAAAUAUGUGUCAAUGCUGUCAGUUGAAUUUUGCAAUAUGAAGUUUUACAUUUUUUGUAGAUUAAAUAAUUUGUAAAAUGUUGCAGUUUCGUCAAUCAGUUUUAUAAGAUAUUGAGCUUUAAAUAUGAUGCAGAUUGUAAGAUUCUUAAUAUCUUUCAAUAUUGUGGAUAAGUUUUUGAGAUAUCAAGCUUUGAGUUUUAUGCAAAUUGUAUGAUUUUAAAAUGUUUCAAUGGUGUUGAUCAGUGUAAUGAAGAUUGCAUAAUUUUUAUGCUUUAAUUCUGUCUAUUGGUUUUCAAAAUGAAAGACUUUGAUUUUGUAAGUGCACUUUUAUCUCCUGAAAGAUUCUUUUCUAGUGUUUAGUUUAUAUUUUAAGGCUGUUUGCAAACUCGAAGUGAAAACAGUUCUAUUACAAUUUGGUAAGGACAUGACAUUGCAUAUCUGAUUUUAAAAUGUACUUUGCUGGCAACGUGUAAUUUUCUGAAAUGUCUUAGUAAGACUGUUGUUUGCAAUCAAAAGGUCUGUGCUUCAAAUACAGGGUAAUGCAUGUUUUUUGUCCAAAUUUAUGGCGAUUCAGACAUUGUUCUAUGUAAAUUUGGGGUUUGCUUGAAGGUUCAGUCUAUUUUUAUGUCCCUCACUAUAGUAGUGGGGGACAUAUUGUUUUUGUCCUGUCUGUUGGUUGGUUGGUUGGUUGAUCUGUUUACGCCAACUUUAACAUUUGCAAUAACUUUUGCAAUAUUGAAGAUAGCAACUUGAUAUUUGGCAUGCAUAUGUAUCUCAUAGAGCUGCACAUUUUAAUUUUCUGAAAGGUCAAGGUCAGAGGUCAAAUAUAUGUGGCCAAAAUCGCUCAUUUUAUGAAUGCUUUUGCAAUAUUGAAGAUAGCAACUUCAUAUUUGGCAAGCAUGUGUAUCUCAUGGAGCUGCACAUUUUGAGUGGUGAAAGGUCAAGGUCGUAAUUCAAUGUCAUAGGUCGAAUAUAUGGCUUCAAAGCGGCGCAGUAAGGGGGAUUGUGUUUUACGAACACAGCUCUUGUUGUUAACUGCCUUUUUAGUCCCUUACCAGUGUUUCACUAAAGUCCGUGUACUUUGGACUCAUUUCAAGUUGACAUUUGAAGCUUUAACUUUGUAUGAUUCUAAAUAUGUGUCAAUGCUGUCGGUUGAAUUUUGAAAUAUGAAGUUUUUCAUUUUUUGUAGAUUAAAUAAUUUGUAAAAUGUUGCAGUUUAGUCAAUCAGUUUUAUAAGAUAUUGAGCUUUAGUUAUGAUGCAGAUUGUAAGAUUCUUAAUAUCUUUCAAUAUUGUGGAUAAGUUUUUGAGAUAUCAAGCUUUGAAUUUUAUGCAAAUUGUAUGAUUUAAAAUGUUUUAAUUUGUUGAUCAGUGUACUGAAGAUUGUAUACUUUUUAUAUGUUAUAAUUCUGUCUAUUGGUUUUCAAAAUGAAAGACUUUGAUUUUGUAAGUGCACUUUUAUCUCAUUAUGCCCCCCUUCGAAGAAGAGGGGGUAUAUUGCUUUGCUCAUGUCGGUCGGUCUGUCGGUAUGUCAGUCUGUCGGUCCGUCCACCAGGUGGUUGUCAGACGAUAACUCAAGAACGCUUGGGCCUAGGAUCAUGAAACUUCAUAGGUACAUUGAUCAUGACUCGCAGAUGACCCCUAUUGAUUUUGAGGUCACUAGGUCAAAGGUCAAGGUCACGGUGACCCGAAAUAGUAAAAUGGUUUUCGGAUGAUAACUCAAGAACGCAUAUGCCUAGGAUCAUGAAACUUCACAGGUAGAUUGAUCAUUGCUCACAGAUGACCCUUAUUGAUUUUAAGGUCACAAGGUCAAGGUCACGGUGACCCGAAAUAGUAAAAUGAUUUUCGGAUGAUAACUCAAGAACGCUUUUGCCUAGGAUCAUGACACUUCAUAGGUACAUUGAUCGUGACUCACAGAUGACCCCUAUUGAUUUUCAGGUCACUAGGUCAAAGGUCAAGGUCACAGUGACAAAAAACGUAUUCACACAAUGGCUGCCACUACAACGGACAGCCCAUAUGGGGGGCAUGCAUGUUUUACAAACAGCCCUUGUUAAAGAUUCUUUUCUAGUGUUUAGUUUAUAUUUUAAGGCUGUUUGCAAACUCGAAGUGAAAACAGCUCUAAUACAAUUUGGUAAGGACAUGACAUUGCAUAUCUGAUUUAAAAAUGUACUUUGCUGGCAACGUGUAAUUUUCAGAAAUGUCUUAGUAAGUAAGACUGUUGUUUGCAAUCAAAAGGUAUGUGCUUCAAAUCCAGGAAAAUGCAUGUUUUUUGUCCAAAUUUAUGUAAAUUCAGACAUUGUUCUGUGUAAAUAUGGGGUUUGCUUGUAGGAUCAGUCUAUUUUUAUGUCCCCCACUAUAGUAGUGGGGGACAUGUUGUUUUUGCUCUGUCGGUCUGUUGAUUGGUUGGUUGGUCUGUUUAUGCCAACUUUAACAUUUUGCAAUAACUUGCAAUAUUGAAAGUAGCAACUUGAUAUUUGGCAUGCAAAUGCAUCUCCUGAAGCUGCACAUUAUCAUUGGUGAAAGGUCAAGGUCAUCCUUCAAGGUCAGAGGUCAAAUAUAUGUGCCCUUAAUCGCUCAUUUUAUGAAUACUUUUGCAAUAUUGAAGAUAGCAACUUGAUAUUUUGCAAGCAUGUGUAUCUCAUUGAGCUGCACAUUUUGAGUGUUGAAAGGUCAAGGUCAUCCUUCAAGGUCAGAGGUCAAAUAUAUGUGGCCCAAAUCGCUUAUUGUAUUAAUACUUUUGCAAUAUUGAAGAUAGCAACUUGAAAUUUGGCAUGCAUGUGUAUCUCAUGGAGCUGCAAAUUUUGAGUGUUGAAAGGUCAAAGUCAUCCUUCAAGGUCAGAGGUUAAAUAUAUGUGGCCCAAAUCGCUUAUUUUAUGAAUACGUUUGCACUAUUGAAGAUAGCAACUUGAUAUUUGGCAUGCAUAUGCUCAUAGAGCUGCACAUUUUGAGUGGUGAAAGGUCAAGGUCAUCCUUCAAGGUCAAAUAUAUGGGUCAAAAUUGCUCAUGUUAUGUUACUUCUGCAAUAUUGAAGCUAGCAAUUUUAUAUUUGACAUGCAUGUGUAUCUCAUGGAGCUGCACAUUUUGAGUGGUGAAGGGUCAAGGUCAUCCUUCAAGGUCAAACGUUAUAUACGGGGACAUUGGGUUUCACAAACGCAUCUUGUUGUGUAUGUAAUUAAUUUUGCUUAAUUUUUGUGAUCCCCCGCCAACAGCGGAGGGAUAUUAAUUUGGCAUUGUCCGUCUUUCCGUCUGUCCGUCCGGCACUUUUGUGUCCGGAACCAUAUUUUGGAAGUGCUUUGGCAGAUUUCAUUGAAACUUGGUAUGAGUAUAUAUAUAUGGAUAAGAGGAUGAUGCACGCCGAAUGGCAUUGUACAUCCUUGAAUAAUAGCGGAGUUAUGACCCUUUGUAUUUGAAAAAAAUGCUUUUUUUGUGUGUCCAGAGCCAUAACUUGUAUCCAGAAGUAUAAUGGCGGGGGAUAUCAAUUCAACGAAUUUGCUUGUUAAAUCAGUUUUUAUUUUCAUGAUAAUCAUUUAGUUCGUACUGCAACUUAUGAUGGAUUGUUACUACUAUCUCCAAUUAUUUGUUUGUCAUGGGUCCGUCACCAUUUAUCUCUUAUAUAAUACUUGAAUUGAGCAUUUCACAAUCUGACAAUCAUGCAUAUCAUUUAUUAGUUUCAUAAUAAAACGUCUGACAAGGGUCAGAUAAUUUUAA